GUAGUUAGCCGGGGCUUCCUCCUUGGCUACCGUCACUUUCUUCGUCACCAAGGACAGAGGUUUACAACCCGAAAGCCUUCUUCCCUCACGCGGCGUUGCUGGGUCAGGCUUGCGCCCAUUGCCCAAUAUUCCCCACUGCUGCCUCCCGUAGGAGUCUGGACCGUGUCUCAGUUCCAGUGUGGCCGAUCAGCCUCUCAGCUCGGCUACCCAUCGUUGGCUUGGUGGGCCGUUACCUCACCAACUACCUAAUGGGACGCGAACCCCUCUUAAAGCGGAUUGCUCCUUUCAUACACUUAUUCAUGCGAAUUAUGUACAAUAUGCGGUAUUAGCGUCCGUUUCCGGAAGUUAUCCCCCACUGAUAGGCAGGUUGCUCACGCAUUACUCACCCGUCCGCCACUAGGUUAAGAAGCAAGCUCCUUAACCCCGUUCGACUUGCAUGUGUUAGGCACGCCGCCAGCGUUCAUCCUGAGCCAGGAUCAAACUCUGA
This 487-nucleotide ribosomal RNA is filed under the name uncultured bacterium. RNAcentral describes it as "partial 16S ribosomal RNA". The record is from RNAcentral.